Molecule: ribosomal RNA, 676 nt
Filed under: Microbacterium sp.
Lineage: Bacteria; Bacillati; Actinomycetota; Actinomycetes; Micrococcales; Microbacteriaceae
Description: bacterial SSU rRNA
Rfam family: Bacterial small subunit ribosomal RNA
Source: RNAcentral
ACGGAGCUUGCUCUGUGGGAUCAGUGGCGAACGGGUGAGUAACACGUGAGCAACCUGCCCCUGACUCUGGGAUAAGCGCUGGAAACGGCGUCUAAUACUGGAUAUGUGACGUGACCGCAUGGUCUGCGUCUGGAAAGAAUUUCGGUUGGGGAUGGGCUCGCGGCCUAUCAGCUUGUUGGUGAGGUAAUGGCUCACCAAGGCGUCGACGGGUAGCCGGCCUGAGAGGGUGACCGGCCACACUGGGACUGAGACACGGCCCAGACUCCUACGGGAGGCAGCAGUGGGGAAUAUUGCACAAUGGGCGCAAGCCUGAUGCAGCAACGCCGCGUGAGGGACGACGGCCUUCGGGUUGUAAACCUCUUUUAACAAGGAAGAAGCGAAAGUGACGGUACCUGCAGAAAAAGCGCCGGCUAACUACGUGCCAGCAGCCGCGGUAAUACGUAGGGCGCAAGCGUUAUCCGGAAUUAUUGGGCGUAAAGAGCUCGUANGCGGUUUGUCGCGUCUGCUGUGAAAUCCGGAGGCUCAACCUCCGGCCUGCAGUGGGUACGGGCAGACUAGAGUGCGGUAGGGGAGAUUGGAAUUCCUGGUGUAGCGGUGGAAUGCGCAGAUAUCAAGAGGAACACCGAUGGCGAANGCAGAUCUCUGGGCCGUAACUGACGCUGAGGAGCGAAAGGGU